This 63-nucleotide transfer RNA is filed under the name Heterocephalus glaber (naked mole-rat). It matches the Rfam family "tRNA". From Rfam's summary of the family: Transfer RNA (tRNA) molecules are approximately 80 nucleotides in length. The record is from Rfam by way of RNAcentral. Lineage: Eukaryota; Metazoa; Chordata; Mammalia; Rodentia; Bathyergidae.
GGGGAUAUAAUUCAGUGGUAGAGUGCUUGCCUUGCAUGUGCAAGGGCCUGGAUUCUAUCUCCA